CGCAGCCGCGGUAAUUCCAGCUCCAAUAGCGUAUAUUAAAGUUGUUGCAGUUAAAAAGCUCGUAGUUGAAUUUCGAGAUCAAUUUGUUGGUCGUGCCUCGGUACGUACUGGCAAUUUUGGUUUCUCCCUUCUGAAGAACCAUGAUGUCAUUAAUUUGGUGUCAUGGGGAAUCAGGACUGUUACUUUGAAAAAAUUAGAGUGUUUAAAGCAGGCUCGCGCUUGAAUACAUUAGCAUGGAAUAAUGAGAUAGGACGUUUGAUUCUAUUUUGUUGGUUUCUAGGAUCGACGUAAUGAUUAAUAGGGAUAGUUGGGGGCAUUAGUAUUCAAUUGUCAGAGGUGAAAUUCUUGGAUUUAUUGAAGACUAACUACUGCGAAAGCAUUUGCCAAGGAUGUUUUCAUUAAUCAAGAACGAAAGUUAGGGGAUCGAAGACGAUCAGAUACCGUCGUAGUCUUAACCAUAAACUAUGCCGACUAGGGAUCGGAUGAUGUUUA
Molecule: ribosomal RNA, 492 nt
Filed under: uncultured Glomus
Lineage: Eukaryota; Fungi; Glomeromycota; Glomeromycetes; Glomerales; Glomeraceae
Description: SSU rRNA
Rfam family: Eukaryotic small subunit ribosomal RNA
Source: RNAcentral